GUCUUCCCAACUUUGAAGUGGUUGAGACUGGAUGAAAGCAUACAGCAGUUUGCGAUCUUUAUGAUGUCACAAGUUGAUCUUUCUAGGGAAGCAGCUAACUUGAGUCGUUUUAUAUACAACUUCCGCAGAUGGAAGGAUGUAUCAUUUCCCAGACCUCUAUAUCCUUUGGUGCAUCCUGCAGUUUUAGUGGAAACCUAUGAAGACGGUGAAAAUAUCUUGCGCUACAUU
RNAcentral lists this unclassified non-coding RNA (228 nucleotides) under Hevea brasiliensis (rubber tree). Lineage: Eukaryota; Viridiplantae; Streptophyta; Magnoliopsida; Malpighiales; Euphorbiaceae. The record is from RNAcentral.